GAUGAACGCUGGCGGCGUGCCUAAUACAUGCAAGUCGAGCGAACGGACGAGAAGCUUGCUUCUCUGAUGUUAGCGGCGGACGGGUGAGUAACACGUGGAUAACCUACCUAUAAGACUGGGAUAACUUCGGGAAACCGGAGCUAAUACCGGAUGAUAUUUUGAACCGCAUGGUUCAAAAGUGAAAGACGGUCUUGCUGUCACUUAUAGAUGGAUCCGCGCUGCAUUAGCUAGUUGGUAAGGUAACGGCUUACCAAGGCAACGAUGCAUAGCCGACCUGAGAGGGUGAUCGGCCACACUGGAACUGAGACACGGUCCAGACUCCUACGGGAGGCAGCAGUAGGGAAUCUUCCGCAAUGGGCGAAAGCCUGACGGAGCAACGCCGCGUGAGUGAUGAAGGUCUUUGGAUCGUAAAACUCUGUUAUUAGGGAAGAACAUAUGUGUAAGUAACUGUGCACAUCUUGACGGUACCUAAUCAGAAAGCCACGGCUAACUACGUG
This 497-nucleotide ribosomal RNA is filed under the name uncultured bacterium. RNAcentral's name for it is "partial 16S ribosomal RNA". It matches the Rfam family "Bacterial small subunit ribosomal RNA", at positions 28 to 507 of the family's 1533-position model. The record is from RNAcentral.